This 510-nucleotide unclassified non-coding RNA is filed under the name Bifidobacterium adolescentis. Its description in RNAcentral is "16S-23S intergenic spacer region". Lineage: Bacteria; Bacillati; Actinomycetota; Actinomycetes; Bifidobacteriales; Bifidobacteriaceae. The record is from RNAcentral.
AGCCGUACCGGAAGGUGCGGCUGGAUCACCUCCUUUCUACGGAGAAUAUGGGCGUGCAUGGUUUUGUGCACGGUUUUGUGGCUGGGGUUUGCCGAGUGCGAUGGUUUGUCGUCGCCGCCCUGGCUUGCUGGCGUGGAAGAGUCGUAUUGGAUUGUGUGGUGUGGUGCGUGCUGUUGGGUUCCCUGGCCGCCACCGGCCCCUGGUGUGGGGUGUGGUUGCCAGUGUGUCCCCCAGGUCGGUUGCCCGGUGCCUGUUGGUGCGGGGUGGGUGUCCUGGUGGGGUGGUGGUUUGAGAACUGGAUAGUGGACGCGAGCAUCGGCCCGCCCGUUGGGGUGGGGUUGGUGUUCGUACUGUGAUUCGGAUCCGAGGAAUUGUUUUUUCUUGGGUUCGUUCGUAAUCGUAUGGGGGCGUGCCGUGUGUGGUGCGUCCCCGUGAUCUGAUGUCGUUCUAGGGUUUUUCAGUAGUGCUUUGGUCAUGGCGGCCGUGUUGUGGUUGUCGUGAUGGGCGUAU